UGUUAACCCUGGGGCCGCAGCCGGGGGAAUAUAGGGACGGCAAGUGUUGUUCGGAUUUAGUGGGCGUAAAGGUGGCGCGGGCGGGGUGUUAAGUCCGGGGUGAAAUCUCACAGCCUAACUGUGAGUGGUCAUUGGAAACUGGCAUGCUUGAGGACUGGAGAGGAGACUGGAAUAGUCGGUGUAGCGGUGAAAUGCGUAGAGAUCGACUAGAACACCGGUGGCGAAGGCGGGUCUCUGGACAGUUCCUGACGCUCAGGCACGAAAGCCAGGGGAGCAAACGGGAUUAGAUACCCGUGUAGUC
This 301-nucleotide ribosomal RNA is filed under the name uncultured Nitratireductor sp. RNAcentral describes it as "bacterial SSU rRNA". It matches the Rfam family "Bacterial small subunit ribosomal RNA", at positions 495 to 795 of the family's 1533-position model. The record is from RNAcentral. Lineage: Bacteria; Pseudomonadati; Pseudomonadota; Alphaproteobacteria; Hyphomicrobiales; Phyllobacteriaceae.